UACGGAGGGUGCAAGCGUUAUCCGGAUUCACUGGGUUUAAAGGGUGCGUAGGUGGGUCCGUAAGUCAGUGGUGAAAUCUCCAAGCUUAACUUGGAAACUGCCGUUGAUACUAUAGAUCUUGAAUGCUGUGGAGGUGAGCGGAAUAUGUCAUGUAGCGGUGAAAUGCUUAGAUAUGACAUAGAACACCAAUUGCGAAGGCAGCUCACUACCCAGAUAUUGACACUGAGGCACGAAAGCGUGGGGAUCAAACAGG
RNAcentral lists this ribosomal RNA (253 nucleotides) under uncultured bacterium. RNAcentral's name for it is "partial 16S ribosomal RNA". It matches the Rfam family "Bacterial small subunit ribosomal RNA", at positions 524 to 776 of the family's 1533-position model. The record is from RNAcentral.